RNAcentral lists this ribosomal RNA (560 nucleotides) under uncultured microeukaryote. RNAcentral's name for it is "SSU rRNA". It matches the Rfam family "Eukaryotic small subunit ribosomal RNA", at positions 4 to 558 of the family's 1831-position model. The record is from RNAcentral.
CUGGUUGAUCCUGCCAGUAGUCAUAUGCUUGUCUCAAAGAUUAAGCCAUGCAUGUCUAAGUAUAAACAUCUUUAUACAGUGAAACUGGGUACAGCUCAUUAUAUCAGUAAUUAUUUAUUUGAUGGUACCUUACUACAUGGAUAACCGUAGUAAUUCUAGAGCUAAUACAUGCGUAAAGUCCCGACUCUUGCGGGGAGGGAUGUAUUUAUUAGAUAAAAAAUCAAUGCAGGCUUUGCCUGGUUAUUUGGUGAUUCAUAGUAACUGUUCGAAUCGCAUGGCUUUAUGCUGGCGAUAGUUCGUUCAAAUUUCUGCCCUAUCAGCUUUCGACGGUAGUGUAGUGGACUACCGUGGCGUUAACGGGUGACGGAGAAUUAGGGUUCGAUUCCGGAGAGGGAGCCUGAGAAACGGCUACCACAUCCAAGGAAGGCAGCAGGCGCGCAAAUUACCCAACCCUGACACAGGGAGGUGGUGACAAAAAAUAACAAUACCGGGCCUUUUCAGGUCUGGUAAUUGGAAUGAGUACAAUUUAAAUCCCUUAACAAGGAUCCAUUGGAGGGCAA